Molecule: unclassified non-coding RNA, 205 nt
Filed under: fungal sp.
Lineage: Eukaryota; Fungi
Also listed under: 1 other name
Description: partial internal transcribed spacer region
Rfam family: Eukaryotic small subunit ribosomal RNA (bases 1-46)
Source: RNAcentral
AAGUCGUAACAAGGUAACCGUAGGUGAACCUGCGGUUGGAUCAUUAAGAGAAUUCGGAAAGCCAAGCUAGAGAAAGUACCCUGAAUUGGUGGAAAUUUCUGUGCUUGUGCAGUCCACCCACCUGUCUGCUAUAUUCUGUCUGACAUUUGACAUAUUCGAUCUGAAUAUACAAUAACAACUUUUGGCAACGGAUCUCUUGGCUCUC